AUAGCAUAUUAAUAACCUGUGGAUUGGAAAUUUUAAUUUAACAAAACAAAACAAAAAUUUUAUUUUUCAGGUUUUAAAGAGAAUUUAGAAAUUGAGCAAAAUUUUACUAAAUUAUAGUGAUCUUAGGAGCAAAGUUCACUUCGUUUGUGUUAUUGUUAAUCAAAAAUAUAAAAGUAAACAAAAAAGAAAACUACCUCUAUCUAAUUUUGUCGAUGUCCAUUUCUUAAGAAGUUUCUCAUUAAAACAACCCUUAACUCAGGCAAGGCAGGGCUAAGGUGGUUAGCGUAACUACAAGUGGUUAACUUACAGUUAGCCAACUGAAGAACAAUCAACAAUGCCCGAUUAAUAAGUGAUCGCGCUGCUUGUCUACUACAUGUCCCUGCACUAGUUAUAGCAGUAAUUUCUUUGUUGGGAAGUAUUUAGCACAUCCGGGCUGCGCAAAAGGAGAGGACUAAAUUGAUUAUUAUGAACAGACCAUUAUGAUGAACCACUGAUAUUGACUCAGAGACAUGAAGAUGAGUGCUUUGACAACAAGACUGACUAGCUGAGCCAGCUUAAGAAUUAUGUGGUGUGUGUGUGUGUCUAAUUCCAGGAGCUCUAUGUCAGCCAUCCAUCUAUAUUCUUACUCAUUUUUGUUAAUUAUAAAAUAAAUUUGAUUAUUUAGUGUGUAACUUCAUUGUACCUAUCCUGCUAGCUGUUAGAAAGAUAGCAUCUGUAAUAAUUUAUUUACGGUAAAACAUAUUUAAAAAUAAACAUGCUUUAACAUUUAAGUAUGGCCAAUAUGUUGUCAAGUACAGUGGGCAGGGCUGAAUCCAUGAUUGAUGACUGAUCCAUGAUGAUGACUUGUUUUUCUGAUUUAAGAAAAUAUACUAAUCAUCAAAACAGUGUCUGCAAGUACUGUACAGGCCGACUGUUUGGAUGAGAAGUAUAUAUUUGAUUUAUUUUUAAGCUGUGUGGGUUUAAAAAAUGUCUAACUGAAAAUCUAUGCUUACUGUAUUUAUUACCGUUAUCUAUACUUAUAAUAAAUCUGUAGAGAGGUCAAUUCUGUACAUGAAAUAUAUUUCCAAAAUAACUAUCAGGGGGUGAUAAGUGAUCGAUACUGAUGCCAAAAAUGCAAUCAGUAAAAUUUUUGUCUGUCUGUCUGUCUGUCUGUCUGUAUGUUCUUUAUAGAAACAAAAAGUACUGGACGGAUUUUAACGAAACUUGGUACAAUUAUUCAACAUACUCCUGGGCAGGUUAUAGUAUACUUUUCAUUAGGCUACGAUCAAUAGGAGUAGAGCAGUGAAGAGAAAUGUUGAGAAAACGGGAGAUGUUACUCAAUUUUUUAAGCUUCCGUCGCGUGUACAGCCUUAAUGGUUAAAGCUACAUAGAAAUCAUGUAUGACGGAAAUGUUCUCCUUAAAAUUAUCUAUAAAAACACAACAGCAUAUAUAUGUCUAUCUUUUUUGGUUGACUCACAAUAACACGUGUAACUCCCGAUAGCUUAGCAGUUCCGAGCUUUCUAAUUAUAUUUGUCUACUCUUAUGUUUAUAACACUCAUCACUUAUCCCUAAUAAGAAAGUUAACAUUAUUACCUAUUCAAUAAAAAAAAGAAUCAUAAAAAUCGGUAAAG
This is a long non-coding RNA of Bicyclus anynana (squinting bush brown), 1611 nucleotides long. RefSeq lists it as uncharacterized. The record is from RefSeq and is a predicted model, not a curated record. NCBI's taxonomy places the organism in Eukaryota, Metazoa, Arthropoda, Insecta, Lepidoptera, Nymphalidae. The transcript has 2 exons.